This 277-nucleotide long non-coding RNA is filed under the name Brassica napus (rape). RNAcentral's name for it is "long non-coding RNA (BNAP_LNC017730)". Lineage: Eukaryota; Viridiplantae; Streptophyta; Magnoliopsida; Brassicales; Brassicaceae. The record is from RNAcentral.
GCACUGUCGAUUUCCGUUUAAAUUAGGAAAGUUAGGAAAACCCUAAUUUCCCAGAGGUCCCGGAUAUCUGUUAAACCACACGCCAAGCAAUCAGAACACGCAAUUAAAGACGAAAAGAAAUAAGAAAUCGUAAAAGAGAGCAAAAGGAGUUUUAUUCCGAAUCCGCGUAUGAGCGUUACAACAAGGUAGAAGCCUUGGCUACGAGAGCUGUCGGCGAGAUUCCUAGUUCUAACAACCUAAGACUGCAAAACCUAGUUGAGUCGCAGCUCGAAAUAAC